GACGAACGCUGGCGGCGUGCUUAACACAUGCAAGUCGAACGGUGAACGAGGGAGCUUGCUCCCUCCGGAUCAGUGGCGAACGGGUGAGUAACACGUGAGCAAUCUGCCCCGAACUCUGGGAUAAGCGUUGGAAACGACGUCUAAUACCGGAUACGACGCGGGAGGGCAUCCUCUCCGCGUGGAAAGAACUUCGGUUCGGGAUGAGCUCGCGGCCUAUCAGCUUGUUGGUGAGGUAACGGCUCACCAAGGCGACGACGGGUAGCCGGCCUGAGAGGGUGACCGGCCACACUGGGACUGAGACACGGCCCAGACUCCUACGAGAGGCAGCAGUGGGGAAUAUUGCACAAUGGGCGCAAGCCUGAUGCAGCAACGCCGCGUGAGGGACGACGGCCUUCGGGUUGUAAACCUCUUUUAGCAGGGAAGAAGCGAAAGUGACGGUACCUGCAGAAAAAGCACCGGCUAACUACGUG
Molecule: ribosomal RNA, 470 nt
Filed under: uncultured bacterium
Lineage: Bacteria
Description: partial 16S ribosomal RNA
Rfam family: Bacterial small subunit ribosomal RNA
Source: RNAcentral